This 692-nucleotide ribosomal RNA is filed under the name endophytic bacterium. RNAcentral's name for it is "bacterial SSU rRNA". It matches the Rfam family "Bacterial small subunit ribosomal RNA", at positions 798 to 1491 of the family's 1533-position model. The record is from RNAcentral.
UGGCGGUUACGAUGUCGACUUGGAGGUUGUUCCCUUGAGGAGUGGCUUCCGGAGCUAACGCGUUAAGUCGACCGCCUGGGGAGUACGGCCGCAAGGUUAAAACUCAAAUGAAUUGACGGGGGCCCGCACAAGCGGUGGAGCAUGUGGUUUAAUUCGAUGCAACGCGAAGAACCUUACCUACUCUUGACAUCCACGGAAUUUAGCAGAGAUGCUUUAGUGCCUUCGGGAACCGUGAGACAGGUGCUGCAUGGCUGUCGUCAGCUCGUGUUGUGAAAUGUUGGGUUAAGUCCCGCAACGAGCGCAACCCUUAUCCUUUGUUGCCAGCGGUUCGGCCGGGAACUCAAAGGAGACUGCCAGUGAUAAACUGGAGGAAGGUGGGGAUGACGUCAAGUCAUCAUGGCCCUUACGAGUAGGGCUACACACGUGCUACAAUGGCGCAUACAAAGAGAAGCGAACUCGCGAGAGCAAGCGGACCUCAUAAAGUGCGUCGUAGUCCGGAUUGGAGUCUGCAACUCGACUCCAUGAAGUCGGAAUCGCUAGUAAUCGUAGAUCAGAAUGCUACGGUGAAUACGUUCCCGGGCCUUGUACACACCGCCCGUCACACCAUGGGAGUGGGUUGCAAAAGAAGUAGGUAGCUUAACCUUCGGGAGGGCGCUUACCACUUUGUGAUUCAUGACUGGGGUGAAGCGCAA